CUUACGUCCGUUUAUUGUUGCUGAUCCGCGGGCCCUACCACCACCUCAUCAUCUUCAACUUCCACCCAAACGAAACGCACGCACGUAUAAUGUUGACAGUUUCUAGCGUUUCUUCCCCAAUUGAUUUCCGGCGAUUUAAGCCACCAUUUGACGCACCGUUUCUUCCUACUUAAGCCUCGGAUUCUCCUCUCUAUUUACCCCCAAACGGCACAUCCCGAGAUCCCCCAGGCUGAUCGAAUUUUAGCUCGCAAGUUCGCGUUACCGGCGAGUUCCCGGAGAAAAUUCGCGACGGCGCCAUUUUCAUCUGUGAGCACGUCCGUGGGAACAGUCUCCGGCUCCGGCGAAAUAGUGCACCUCGACGUCCGCCGCUUCUUCAUCAAGUUCGUCUUGUCAAACAGGGCGCGUGGUUUGCUUCAUCAUCGGCAGGGAAUCGCAGGAGCAUCGAGCCGUCAACCGUGGACCACAGCGACUAGGCUUUUCCAUUAACCUCUGUCUCCUACGUGAGCUGCUACCCUUGUUCUUUAUUCUUUCUUUCUUUCUUUAUUUUCAGUGAACCACACAAUGUAGAUCCUAAGGUCAAAAUCGGAUCACUUAGAUGAAGGGGUAUCGGCCAAUCAAAAUCAGCCACUUGUCAUAUGUGUUGUAAUUUUCGGAUAUUAGAACAGGACAUACUCCAAUUUUUGAAAAAUCAUAUCUUUAGCUCUA
Lolium perenne is the source of this 705-nucleotide non-coding RNA. The record is from RefSeq and is a predicted model, not a curated record. Lineage: Eukaryota; Viridiplantae; Streptophyta; Magnoliopsida; Poales; Poaceae.